UUAGUUGAACCCCCUCAAGUUGGGUAUACCCCAACUGAUGUAUCACAGAUAGAUGGUAGCAAAUAACCAUUGCUGAAAUAUGCAGGUAUGGUCGUUCAGGAAUUAUCUCACCUAAAGUAGAUGUCUAUGCUUUUGGCGUUGUCCUUUAUGAAUUGAUUUCAUCCAAGGAAGCGGUAGUCAAAGAAGAUGGUGUAGAUGAUGCAAGAAGCCUUGUUGCUUUGUUUGAAGAAGCUCAUAAUCAUCCUAAUCCAAUUGAAGGCAUUUCCAGAUUGAUAGACCCCAAACUCCGCGAUAACUACCCCUUUGAUUCAGUCCACAAGAUGGCACAGCUUGCUAAAGCUUGUACAGAGAAAGAUCAUCAAAUGCGUCCAACUAUGAAAUCAGUAGUGGUUGCGCUUAUGGCAUGUUCAUCAUCAACAGAGGAUUGAUAAUUUGAUGUUCUGGUUUGGUCCUGCAGUGUUUCAUGAAGAAGUAUUUCUUGAAAUCAAGAGCUUAAUUUCGACUUCUUUUAAAGAUGUUCAGAGAAAUAUUAAGAAAAAAACUAGUAUUUGACUUCUCAGAUAGUUAUAAGUAAUCUUUUUUGGGACAACCGAAGUACAAUUACACAAUCAUUUAUGAUAUUCUAGUUGUACGUCCAUAUACAAGUUUAUCUUAACAAUGCUCUCGUCAGAAUUGAGGCAUUUUCAAUUAGUUGAUAAUGUGGCUAAAUGACCAGUGACUAAAUAG
Molecule: non-coding RNA, 726 nt
Organism: Nicotiana tabacum (common tobacco)
Lineage: Eukaryota; Viridiplantae; Streptophyta; Magnoliopsida; Solanales; Solanaceae
Source: RefSeq, a predicted model, not a curated record